CCUGUGAGGGUUGCUGGAGGUAUCAGAAGUGCGAAUGCUGACAUAAGUAACGAUAAUGCGGGUGAAAAACCCGCACGCCGGAAGACCAAGGGUUCCUGUCCAACGUUAAUCGGGGCAGGGUGAGUCGACCCCUAAGGCGAGGCUGAAAAGCGUAGUCGAUGGGAAACAGGUUAAUAUUCCUGUACUUGGUGUUACUGCGAAGGGGGGACGGAGAAGGCUAGGCUAGCCGGGCGACGGUUGUCCCGGUUUAAGCAUGUAGGCGGAGUGACCAGGUAAAUCCGGUUGCUUAUCAACGCUGAGGUGUGAUGACGAUGCACUACGGUGCAGAAGUAGUUGAUGCCAUGCUUCCAGGAAAAGCCUCUAAGCAUCAGGUAACAUGAAAUCGUACCCCAAACCGACACAGGUGGUCAGGUAGAGAAUACUCAGGCGCUUGAGAGAACUCGGGUGAAGGAACUAGGCAAAAUGGUGCCGUAACUUCGGGAGAAGGCACGCUGGCAUUAGGUAAAGGGACUUGCUCCCGGCGCCGAAGCCAGUCGCAGAUACCAGCUGGCUGCAACUGUUUAAUAAAAACACAGCACUGUGCAAACACGAAAGUGGACGUAUACGGUGUGACGCCUGCCCGGUGCUGGAAGGUUAAUUGAUGGGGUCAGCCGCAAGGCGAAGCUCUUGAUCGAAGCCCCAGUAAACGGCGGCCGUAACUAUAACGGUCCUAAGGUAGCGAAAUUCCUUGUCGGGUAAGUUCCGACCUGCACGAAUGGCGUAAUGAUGGCCAGGCUGUCUCCACCCGAGACUCAGUGAAAUUGAACUCGCUGUGAAGAUGCAGUGUACCCGCGGCAAGACGGAAAGACCCCGUGAACCUUUACUAUAGCUUGACACUGAACAUUGAGCCUUGAUGUGUAGGAUAGGUGGGAGGCAUAGAAGUGUGGACGCCAGUCUGCAUGGAGCCAACCUUGAAAUACCACCCUUUAAUGUUUGAUGUUCUAACUCGGCCCCGUAAUCCGGGGUGAGGACAGUGUCUGGUGGGUAGUUUGACUGGGGCGGUCUCCUCCCAAAGAGUAACGGAGGAGCACGAAGGUUAGCUAAUCACGGUCGGACAUCGUGAGGUUAGUGCAAAGGCAUAAGCUAGCUUGACUGCGAGAGUGACGGCUCGAGCAGGUACGAAAGUAGGUCUUAGUGAUCCGGUGGUUCUGAAUGGAAGGGCCAUCGCUCAACGGAUAAAAGGUACUCCGGGGAUAACAGGCUGAUACCGCCCAAGAGUUCAUAUCGACGGCGGUGUUUGGCACCUCGAUGUCGGCUCAUCACAUCCUGGGGCUGAAGUAGGUCCCAAGGGUAUGGCUGUUCGCCAUUUAAAGUGGUACGCGAGCUGGGUUUAGAACGUCGUGAGACAGUUCGGUCCCUAUCUGCCGUGGGCGUUGGAAGAUUGAGAGGGGCUGCUCCUAGUACGAGAGGACCGGAGUGGACGAAUCACUGGUGUUCGGGUUGUCAUGCCAAUGGCAUUGCCCGGUAGCUAAAUUCGGAAGAGAUAACCGCUGAAAGCAUCUAAGCGGGAAACUUGCCUCGAGAUGAGUCUUCCCUGGGGCUUUAAGCCCCCUGAAGGAACGUUAAAGACGAUGACGUUGAUAGGCUGGGUGUGUAAGUGCAGCGAUGCAUUGAGCUAACCAGUACUAAUGAACCGUGAGGCUUAACCUU
RNAcentral lists this ribosomal RNA (1689 nucleotides) under Yersinia enterocolitica. Its description in RNAcentral is "bacterial LSU rRNA". It matches the Rfam family "Bacterial large subunit ribosomal RNA", at positions 1260 to 2925 of the family's 2925-position model. The record is from RNAcentral. Lineage: Bacteria; Pseudomonadati; Pseudomonadota; Gammaproteobacteria; Enterobacterales; Yersiniaceae.